UACAGAGGGUGCAGGCGUUAAUCGGAAUUACUGGGCGUAAAGCGUGCGUAGACGGUUAUGUAAGUCAGGUGUGAAAGCCCCGGGCUCAACCUGGGAAUGCCAUUUGAGACUGCAUAGCUAGGGUACGGAAGAGGGAAGCGGAAUUUCAGGUGUAGCGGUGAGAUGCGUAGAUAUCUGAAGGAACACCAGUGGCGAAAGCGGCUUCCUGGUCCAGUACCGACGUUCAGGCACGAAAGCGUGGGGAGCAAACAGG
Molecule: ribosomal RNA, 253 nt
Filed under: uncultured bacterium
Lineage: Bacteria
Description: partial 16S ribosomal RNA
Rfam family: Bacterial small subunit ribosomal RNA
Source: RNAcentral